CGAAGCAAAUAAAAAGUAAUCAAAAUCCCGCUCACUCCUAAAAACUGAUUUUUGGUUAGCCGCUCAUUACUCCCUCUUCUUCUCAUCUCCGUCGUGCACUCUAAAUCCCCCAAAUAAAAGUUUAUUUUUCUUCAGCUGAAAUCCCCCAAAUAGAAAUCGGACCGAGCAGCUUAGCAUCAAGGAAGAAGAAGAGUCCAAAAAACACAGGCAGCUAAGUUGCCCUUAUGGCUUGUGAAGCGAGUAUUUUUGGCAUCGAUUGGGUUUAAUGUAGACUGAAAUUUUGUAAUCUCUUCUUUUCUAAUGCUGAUCAAAGAGUAGAGAAAGGGGAAGGAAAUUUUAUUUUCAUCAUUUCUUCUUCUUUGUGCCAGAAUCAACAAUUCAAGAGAGGCUUGCUGAGAACAUCCAAGAUGCUUAUGCUGAGGCAGCUAGCAUUGCUAAACAGCUAUGAUUUUGAUGGGCAGCCUCCAGAUUUGAAAAAACAAGAGCUUGCUAAGCGUUACUCAAAGAGGGCAGAUGCUACUGAGGAUUUGCAAGAAGCCAUGGAGGUAUUUUUCCUACGGAAAAUUAAGGUGCUGUUGUUUUUAUUAUUAGAUUGGAAAUAAGGAGGACAUUGAAAAAUUAAAUAUGUAGCCAAAAUUUUGUCAACUGUCAGUAGUAGAUACUCGUAGAGUUCAAUCAAUUCAACGCUGCAAGAAAAUGGAAGCGUAUGUAUAAUAACCGUAUUUGUAGUACUAAUUUUUGUUAUAUAAUAAUGAAAGGAACAUAUGUUCUUUUCCCGUAUAAUGAAA
This is a long non-coding RNA of Gossypium raimondii (Peruvian cotton), 788 nucleotides long. RefSeq lists it as uncharacterized. The record is from RefSeq and is a predicted model, not a curated record. The transcript is spliced from 5 exons. Lineage: Eukaryota; Viridiplantae; Streptophyta; Magnoliopsida; Malvales; Malvaceae.